CAUCUUCCCAAAUGAGAGUAACUGCCAAGAGAAUCGAAAAAAAAAAAAAAAGGGGAGGAAUGAAAGAAGAAAUAACUUAGAAGAACGGGUAAAUAUGCAGUUCACGCUUUAUUGUGCGUGCAUUCAGUCUUGUUACUCGCAUUAGUGUCCAAAGAAACUGUUUUCAAAAAAUAUUUUUCUCCAAAAUAAAAACAGAAAUAAUUUUCUGUUUAAAAAAAACAAAAAAAUGCAGCUGGUCUUUAUUUAAAAAACUGAAAAAGACUGUUUUAUGUGUUUUUUUAACAGAAACUGAAAACAAAAAUGUUUUCAAAAAACAGUUUUCUACAAAUUAAAAAUAGAAAUAUUUUUUUGUUUUAAAAAACAAAAAAAAUGCCGUUUCUGUUUUUGUUUAAAACAGAAACUUCAAAAAAAAAUUAUUUUAAAAAAAAUCUCCAAAAUAAGAAUAAAAUAAUUUUCUAUUUAAAAAACAUGCAAAAAAUGCGUUUGUUUUGUUUAAAACAUGAAAAAGACUGUUUAUCUUUUUUUUAACAUAAAAUGAAAAAUUAAUAAAACUGUUUUCAAAAAAACAGUUUCCACAAAAUAAAACAUAAUAACUCUGUUUAAAAAAACUGAAAAAACUAUAGUUUUUGUUUCGUUUAAAAAAAUUGAAAAAAGACUAUUUUCAAUUUUAGUUUCGGUUUUUUAAACGGGAAAAACUGGACAGUAAAAAACUGUUGCCAGUUUUUUCAACAUAAAAAUAAAACAAAAACAAUGUCUGUUAAAAAACAUUUAAAAUUAAGCAGUUUUUUUUUUAAAAAUUGAAAUAUAUUUCUGUUUUUGUUACAGAGUAACAGAAAUGGAACAAGAAAAAGAAAAUUGUUUCAAAACUAGUUUUCUUCAAAUAAAAGCAGAAAGAAAUAAUUUCAAAUUAAAAAAAAAAAAAAAAUCCCAGUCCGAGUAAAGUGGGUCUAGGAUUGAAAGACCUCUCUCAAGCGAGAUAAGUUGGGUUGUUUAUUGAGUACUUGGAUGAUUUAUUUUUAAGCCAUCUCUAACGCACCCUAAAUGAGUAAAUGAAUCGAGACUACAUUUUGAACCCCAAUAAUACGAGAAUGGCCUGUUAGAAUCUUUUUUUAAAAAAAAUGAUCUAUUUCGUUUCAAAUUUUUUGUUUGAAAUUUUUUCAUUAUCUCAUCAAAAUCUGAUAUUUUUCAGUUCCCCUUAACGAGAGAAUCUAAUAAUGUAAAAUUUUUAUUAAAUUAAAAAAAAUAUGUUGAAGAACAAAAAAUGAGGAAGUAUUCAAUUUUAAAAAAAAAAAAUAAUGUUGGAAGAAUGAUGUGAAGCGGCGCAGCCAUGAGAGGCGUGCUCUUCCAAAAGGAAUAAGUUCGACGCAGGUGAUGGUCGGCGGCAUAAACCUCAGCAAUGGAUUAUGAUCAGUGUUUCCUUUAAAGCCCAAGGUUUUGGGUGGGAGAAGAUGUAGGGUCAUCUACUUGUUCGAUGAAAUAUCUCAAGGACAUUCAACAGAUCUUCCCUCUAUCAAUUUUACUUCCCCCCUGAAAUUAUAUGGCAGAAUGGGGGGGUGAUUGAGGCGUACGGACAUUAGAUUUUGGUCCGGUAUAGGGAGAAGCACAACAGGUGGAGAAGUGUAGGAGCAGAUUUUAGUGUAGCCAGACGAGAUUGGGGACUCAGUUACCAUUAAGUUGGACCUAUUGUCAUCCUAGAGGAAUUACACACUACCUAAGGUCGAGAGAGUGAAAAAGCUACAAUAAUUGCAUGAAAUGCAAGAAAUAAAAUGAAUUAAGGAAUAGAAAGGAAAUACCAUCCAAGUCAUAUGGGGUUGGAAAGAAUUGCAAGUAACAAAACAAAGCAACAGUCAAACCUGCCAAAUGAAAAGAAAAAGAUUCCUAUAUCAAUACACAACCAAUGUAAACAGGAGGACAAUAGAAAAAUCAGAAUUUUUGGGCAAUGGUAAACUAUCCUGUGGCGGAGAAAACAGAGUAAAAAUAGGAUUAGAAAAAUCUAAAUUUUCUUCAAUAGAAGUUAUACAUACAAAUUGAUCGAUCGU
Molecule: long non-coding RNA, 2039 nt
Filed under: Actinidia chinensis (golden kiwifruit)
Lineage: Eukaryota; Viridiplantae; Streptophyta; Magnoliopsida; Ericales; Actinidiaceae
Description: long non-coding RNA (ACHI_LNC000866)
Source: RNAcentral